UGGUACUCCCAAGGUGGAUAGAUACUUAGAAGCAUGGGUAGUCUUGAGUACCUCUGCACAUAUAGCAAUAAGGACCUAAAUUUGAUUCUGAAAUCUGAGCAAUCCAUCAUCUAAAAUCCUAAAAUCAUGAGAUUUUUUAGAAGUGAAUUUUCAUAGAUUCUUGGCAAGUCCUAGUUUCGUGUCCUGGGUUUCCCAGAUCUUCAUAAAGAGAUCCAGUAUGGUUUGAAUUUGAGCGAGAUAGAUGACCUUGCCGUAGUAGCUAAGGCGGAGCGAUUGUAUCGUGUCCAUCAACUUC
Molecule: long non-coding RNA, 295 nt
Filed under: Carica papaya (papaya)
Lineage: Eukaryota; Viridiplantae; Streptophyta; Magnoliopsida; Brassicales; Caricaceae
Description: long non-coding RNA (CPAP_LNC005290)
Source: RNAcentral